AGAAUCAACGCUGGCGGCGUGCCUCAGACAUGCAAGUCGAACGCGAAAGUUCCCUUCGGGGGGCAAGUAGAGUGGCGCACGGGUGAGUAACACGUAGGUAAUCUACCUUUGGAUGGGGAAUAACAACCGGAAACGGUUGCUAAUACCGCAUAAUGCAGCGGCACCUAAUGGUGACAGUUGUUAAAGGCGGGGGAUCGAAAGACCUCGCGUCUGAAGAGGAGCCUGCGGCGGAUUAGCUAGGUUGGUAGGGUAACGGCCUACAAGGCUACGAUCCGUAGCCGGCCUGAGAGGGCGGUCGGCCACACUGACACUGACAUACGGGUCAGACUCCGUACGGGAGCAGCAGUCGGGUAAUUUUGGGCAAGUGGGACGAAAGCCUAGACCCAGCAACGCCGCGUGAAGAUAGAAAUCCCGUCGGGAUAGUAAACUUCGACGAAGGAACGGAAGAAGUAAGGUAAGGGACAACUACCCC
Molecule: ribosomal RNA, 472 nt
Filed under: uncultured soil bacterium
Lineage: Bacteria
Description: bacterial SSU rRNA
Rfam family: Bacterial small subunit ribosomal RNA
Source: RNAcentral